RNAcentral lists this ribosomal RNA (301 nucleotides) under uncultured bacterium. Its description in RNAcentral is "partial 16S ribosomal RNA". It matches the Rfam family "Bacterial small subunit ribosomal RNA", at positions 509 to 809 of the family's 1533-position model. The record is from RNAcentral.
CAGCAGCCGCGGUAAUACGAAGGGUGCAAGCGUUAAUCGGAAUUACUGGGCGUAAAGCGUGCGUAGGCGGUGAGUUAAGUCUGCUGUGAAAUCCCCGGGCUCAACCUGGGAAUGGCAGUGGAUACUGGCUCGCUAGAGUGUGUCAGAGGAUGGUGGAAUUCCCGGUGUAGCAGUGAAAUGCGUAGAUAUGCGGAGGAACACCGAUGGCGAAGGCAGCCCCCUGGGCCAACACUGACGCUCAUGCACGAAAGCGUGGGGAGCAAACAGGAUUAGAUACCCGCGUAGUCCCUGUCUCUUAUAA